This 336-nucleotide unclassified non-coding RNA is filed under the name soil metagenome. RNAcentral's name for it is "partial contains 5.8S ribosomal RNA, internal transcribed spacer 2, and large subunit ribosomal RNA". The stretch from base 1 to 120 matches the Rfam family "5.8S ribosomal RNA", at positions 35 to 154 of the family's 154-position model. The record is from RNAcentral.
GAUGAAGAACGUAGCGAAAUGCGAUAAGUAGUGUGAAUUGCAGAAUUCAGUGAAUCAUCGAAUCUUUGAACGCACAUUGCGCCCCUUGGUAUUCCAUGGGGCAUGCCUGUUCGAGCGUCAUUUGUACCUUCAAGCUUUGCUUGGUGUUGGGUGUUUGUCUCGCCUUUGCGUGUAGACUCGCCUUAAAAUAAUUGGCAGCCGGCGUAUUGAUUUCGGAGCGCAGUACAUCUCGCGCUUUGCACUCAUAACGACAGCGUCCAAAAGUACAUUUUACACUCUUGACCUCGGAUCAGGGAGGGAUACCCGCUGAACUUAAGCAUAUCAAUAAGCGGCGGA